Molecule: ribosomal RNA, 250 nt
Filed under: uncultured prokaryote
Description: partial 16S ribosomal RNA
Rfam family: Bacterial small subunit ribosomal RNA
Source: RNAcentral
UACGUAGGUGGCGAGCGUUGUCCGGAAUAACUGGGCGUAAAGGGAGCGUAGGUGGUUGUUUAAGUUAAAUGUGAAAUCCCGGGGCUCAACUCCGGAACUGCAUUUAAUACUGGAUAACUAGAGUACAGGAGGGGUAAGCGGAAUUCCUAGUGUAGCGGUGAAAUGCGUAGAUAUUAGGAAGAACACCAGAGGCGAAGGCGGCUUACUGGACUGCAACUGACACUGAGGCUCGAAAGCGUGGGGAGCAAAC